UGGGGAAUCUUGGACAAUGGGGGCAACCCUGAUCCAGCCAUGCCGCGUGAGUGAUGAAGGCCUUAGGGUCGUAAAGCUCUUUCGCCUGUGAAGAUAAUGACGGUAGCAGGUAAAGAAACCCCGGCUAACUCCGUGCCAGCAGCCGCGGUAAUACGGAGGGGGUUAGCGUUGUUCGGAAUUACUGGGCGUAAAGCGCACGUAGGCGGACCAGAAAGUUGGGGGUGAAAUCCCGGGGGCUCAACCCCGGAACUGCCUCCAAAACUAUUGGUCUAGAGUUCGAGAGAGGUGAGUGGAAUUCCAAGUGUAGAGGUGAAAUUCGUAGAUAUUUGGAGGAACACCAGUGGCGAAGGCGGCUCACUGGCUCGAUACUGACGCUGAGGUGCGAAAAGUGUGGGGAGCAAACAGGAUUAGAUACCCUGGUAGUCACACCGUAAAACGAUGAAUGCCAGUCGUCGGGGUAGCAUGCUAUUCGGUGACACACCUAACGGAUUAAGCAUUCC
RNAcentral lists this ribosomal RNA (500 nucleotides) under uncultured bacterium. Its description in RNAcentral is "bacterial SSU rRNA". It matches the Rfam family "Bacterial small subunit ribosomal RNA", at positions 355 to 870 of the family's 1533-position model. The record is from RNAcentral.